Molecule: ribosomal RNA, 121 nt
Filed under: Petromyzon marinus (sea lamprey)
Lineage: Eukaryota; Metazoa; Chordata; Hyperoartia; Petromyzontiformes; Petromyzontidae
Source: RNAcentral
GCUAUUUGCUAAGUCAGCUUUAAUGCGCUCGAUUCCGCCAGCGCUCAGAAGCUAAGCGGGGGUUUUGAGCCUGUAUAGCACUUGGAUGGGCGACCACAAUUGAUAACAGGUGUUGUAGGCU